RNAcentral lists this ribosomal RNA (776 nucleotides) under uncultured bacterium. RNAcentral describes it as "bacterial SSU rRNA". It matches the Rfam family "Bacterial small subunit ribosomal RNA", at positions 55 to 809 of the family's 1533-position model. The record is from RNAcentral.
AUGCAGUCGACGAGGAUAUACCCUUCGGGGUAUAAGCCGAGUGGCGCAAGGGUGAGUAAUGCAUAGAUUACCUGCCUCCGGGAUAAGGACAACUUUGUGAAAACGAAGCUAAUACUUAAUAAUACAAAUGAAAAUAAUUUUCAUUUGUCAAUGGGAGGGUAGCAAUACCUUUUGCCUGGAGAGGGGUUUAUGUCCUAUCAGCUUGUUGGUGGGGUAAUGGCCUACCAAGGCGAAGACGGGUAGCCGGUCUUAGAGGAUGGUCGGCCACACUGGGACUGAGACACUGCCCAGACUUCUACGGAAGGCUGCAGUCGAGAAUCUUUCGCAAUGCCCGAAAGGGUGACGAAGCGACGCCGCGUGAGUGAGGAAGGCCUUCGGGUUGUAAAGCUCUGUCAGGAGUUAAGAAAUAUAAGUGUGCUAAUACCACAUUUAUUUGACAAAAGCUCCAAAGGAAGCCACGGCUAACUCUGUGCCAGCAGCCGCGGUAAUACAGAGGUGGCAAGCGUUGUUCGGAAUUAUUGGGCGUAAAGAGCACGUAGGUGGGUUUGUAAGUCAGAUGUGAAAGCCUUCUGUUCAACGGAAGAAUUGCAUCUGAAACUGCAAGUCUUGAGUGUAGGAGGGGAGAAUGGAACUUCUGGUGGAGCGGUGAAAUGCGUAGAUAUCAGAAAGGAACGCCGGCGGCGAAAGCGAUUCUCUGGCCUAUUACUGACACUCAGUGUGCGAAAGCUAGGGGAGCAAACGGGAUUAGAUACCCCGGUAGUCCUAGCUGUAAACGA